AAAAUAGUGUAUUAUGUUGCUCUAAAUUAAACUAUGUGUUUAGUUUGGAUUGGGUCAAAGCCUCCAAGUGUAAAGAACGAAUGUUUUUUUUCAAUUAUUGGAUACUCUACAUAAACUCUGGUGAUUCCCAUCACUAGGCUCUUAUGAACAAAGCAUUUCGACUCCAUAACUGGUAAACUUUGCAGAUCCUUUGUGGGAUGCCUCCAUUCUAAAUAGUUUUUCCACAACUUGGGCAAGG
Molecule: non-coding RNA, 238 nt
Organism: Pelobates cultripes (western spadefoot toad)
Lineage: Eukaryota; Metazoa; Chordata; Amphibia; Anura; Pelobatidae
Source: the annotation of a GenBank genome assembly